Molecule: long non-coding RNA, 1138 nt
Filed under: Gallus gallus (chicken)
Lineage: Eukaryota; Metazoa; Chordata; Aves; Galliformes; Phasianidae
Description: long non-coding RNA NONGGAT001294
Source: RNAcentral
CUGGAGAUGGAGCUGGGGCGGGAGAGGCGGAGGCACUAUCUGCCUCUGCCAUUUGGAGUGGGAACAAAUAAGCAGCAGUGAUCAGAUUUCCUCCAGUUUUCCUGGAUCUAAGCUUUUUGACUCAUGUGCUUCAACUGUAUCUUUGGCAAGUGCUUGAAAAUUCAAUAUCUGAAUUGAGAAAAACAGUAACAGAACUGGAGAAAAAGCUUAGCAGUGUUGAAGAUGAAGGUAAUGAGUGGAAAACCAGAUACGAGAUGCAAGUAGAACUGAACAGCCAGCUGCAAAGACAAAUUCAUAUUCUUAAAGACAAGGUGGAGCUUAUUCGUGGAAAUCCAACAGGGUUCCUUGAAGGAGUUUCUUGAACAACUAAAAGAAGAGAAGAAAAGUCUCCAGAGUCAGCUAAAAGAUUAUGAACUUAGACUGGAACAGGAGGCAAAGGCUUACCACAAAGCUAAUGAUGAGCGGCGCAUGUACCUUGCAGAGAUUUUGCAGGUAAGAAAAAGACCUGUGUGACUCGAUGGGAGCUGGAGCAUCUCUUGUGAGGAAUGGCUGAGAGACCUGGGACUGCUCAGGCUGGGAAAGCAAAGACUGGAAGAGGUUCUUGUCAGUGCUUACAAACAUCUAAAGGACGGGAGUCAAGUGGAUGAGUUCUUCUCAGGCUCUUCUCAGCAGUGCCCAGUGACUGAAAAAGGGCAGUAGGCAAAAACUGGAACAUAGGAAGUUCCAUACAACAUGAGGAAAAAAAUCUUUACUUUGAGGGUGACAGAGCACUGGAACAGGCUGUUUUUGUAUCAAUUGGAAUUUAAUUGCUCACAAACAUAGUCAGUACCCUUAACUGAGAAAGCUGAAGCAGCUUUCUGAUUGCCCAUCCAGGAGUGACAAAGACUACUGUGCUGCAGUUCUGUGCUUCAGCUGAAAAGAGCAGAACCGAAUUAUUAGUGGCAUUGACACCUUAAGAAAAUUCCUCUUUUUCAUGUUUCCCCCUUUUUAUCUUUUAAAGACAAGGUAGCCAGUCAGCUCAGAUUGACAACACAAUUAAAUUUACAAGAUAUAAGGUACCUUGUUUUUAUGAACUCGGGGGUUAAAUUUUAUUACUGCAAAUUAUGUAACACAUAAAAGUUGAUAGUAUAAACUGCAG